Molecule: long non-coding RNA, 1485 nt
Organism: Ictalurus punctatus (channel catfish)
Lineage: Eukaryota; Metazoa; Chordata; Actinopteri; Siluriformes; Ictaluridae
Source: Ensembl
CUAAAAAUAUCUUUAUUUCUACAUUUCUUCAUUAAAAGCACAGACAUUACAGAUGAGAAUAAUAAUUACAUUUAGAUGUAAAAAAAGAAAAGAGGAAGAAAAGCUCUACAGCUAUGGAAAGCAUGUAGUAAUGCGACAUUCGCCGGCGGAGGCGGAGCAGCACCGCCGAAGCUUUUUGGCUUUAAAGCGUUUCACAGAAUUUGAAGACAUUCACAGUAAAGCAGCUGCAGAAGAAAAAGAUCACAGUUCUGAUGCGUUAUAAGGCACAAAACCCUUCAAAUCAACCUUCUACAGUAAUGUAAUCUUCUCCGUACACCUUCAAGUGUCAAAAAAGUCCAAUUAUUACCCACAAAAACAACCAAAAAAAACCUGCACUAACCCGGUGAUAAAGACGAAGUUUAAACAUGCAACACUUUACAUGCGUCACGAUUUAGUGCAAUCAAGCCGAUAGAAUCCGUCAACGUUAUACAUUAUAUAUAAAAAACACUCUUUAUAGUACUCUGUCCAAACAGAGUCAUUUUACUCCUGGGAUUCGGGAUCGUUCGGAUCGCUGUCCUAAAUUCUCGAUGUAGACGUUAUCGUUAACGCCUCGCGGUAAAACCGCAGCACACGUCUGUGGACCAGCGUUUAUAGCGCGUUUAUUUAUUUAUUUAUUUAUAGAUUUCUUUUUCCAGGCGAAACUCGUACGUCAUGAUGGACGACCACGCCGCCCCGCCCCUUUCUUUCUAUUGGCUCAGACUUGACGAAACUCCCACACGUCCGUUCCCCUUCGGUGAAUCCGGCGUGACUCGCUCGGAGCGAAGCGCUCUCCGCUCUCUCCCGCAUACACGAGUUCACGGGAGCGUGCGGUCGGCUACUGGCGAUUUUUCUAACGACGGGAGAAUUUCAUUGGCCGCUUCAGCGGAGAAAGCGGGUGUCUCGGGGAGCGCUGCAGCGAAUCCGUAAACGUCCGAAUUCCUUAAUUCGCGAGUUCGCUGAAGCGUAUUGCACCACGCCCGUUCCCUGAAUGCUGGGAGAACAUCGCGCGCUCUGAUCCAUCGUCUCCCGUCUGAUUAUUGCAAAUGACGUUUUUAUUUUCUUAAAAUUUGAAAUGCGACUGUGUCUGAAUUCUAAACAAAAACAACUAAAAAACCCUGCUGAUCUAAAACGCCGUUAAAUCAAGUCUUGAGAUUUAUUCUUUUGCUUUUUUUUGUACGAAGUGCACUUACUCGUACCUUUCUGAAGAUUACACUGGAAUUAAAAAUAAAUAAUAAAGCGGCAAACACGAGGCUUUUGAUUUUGGAUCAUUUCCAGCUGAGGGUGAAGUUCUGACUGAGGUUCAGACCCAACUCGUCUACUCUCAACACCUAGAGAGAGAGAGAGAGAGAGAGAGAGAGAGAGAGAGAGAGAGAGAGAGAGAGAGAGAGAGGGAGAGAGAGAGAGAGAGAGAGAGAGGGAGAGAGAGAGAGAGGGAGAGAGAGAGAGAGAGAGAGAGAGAGAGAGAGG